RNAcentral lists this long non-coding RNA (528 nucleotides) under Gossypium raimondii (Peruvian cotton). Its description in RNAcentral is "long non-coding RNA (GRAI_LNC007016)". Lineage: Eukaryota; Viridiplantae; Streptophyta; Magnoliopsida; Malvales; Malvaceae. The record is from RNAcentral.
GCCUUCACACUCUAUGCCCUGGAAUUGGAAUUCGAGCCUUUGUACUUCCGGUGGCCGUCACCAUUCUUGGCUAGUAUGGUUUCAGUUCUUAUAUGUCAAGCACUGCAUACAACUUUGCACGCAUAUACAUAAUGUUUGCUAUUUUACUAAAAUAGUAAAAAUGGUUAACCUGCUGUUCAUAUAGCUACGAGUUUGGUGGCUUCCAGCAGCAGUAUAUUAUGAAAUUGCUAGCUUGGAAAAAAUGUUGGUAAAUGAAGUUUAAUUUGGCUUUUAAACAGGCGACGAUGCCCUCCCUCCAGAGUAAAGAAACCAUCUAUGAUACCAUGCGGAGAGGGUUGAGAGUUGCAUAUUUGAUCACUGAAGUAUUUUCAAGCCUCACUGGACUGGAACUUCUUCAGUAAUUAGGAAUUUCAUUUCAGAUUUCAGUUUGCUAAUUUGGUUGAAGCUCUUAUUUAUUUGAUGAAGAUUAUAUGUGAAUGUACGUGUUUUUCAUUAGGUUUUAAAUAUGUUAUCGAGUGAAUGAGUAAC